RNAcentral lists this ribosomal RNA (208 nucleotides) under uncultured bacterium. RNAcentral describes it as "partial 16S ribosomal RNA". It matches the Rfam family "Bacterial small subunit ribosomal RNA", at positions 568 to 774 of the family's 1533-position model. The record is from RNAcentral.
CGCGUAGGCGGAUUAGAAAGUUGGGGGGUGAAAUCCCAGGGCUCAACCCUGGAACUGCCUCCAAAACUACUAGUCUAGAGUUCGAGAGAGGUGAGUGGAAUUCCGAGUGUAGAGGUGAAAUUCGUAGAUAUUCGGAGGAACACCAGUGGCGAAGGCGGCUCACUGGCUCGAUACUGACGCUGAGGUGCGAAAGUGUGGGGAGCAAACA